Molecule: ribosomal RNA, 499 nt
Filed under: uncultured bacterium
Lineage: Bacteria
Description: bacterial SSU rRNA
Rfam family: Bacterial small subunit ribosomal RNA
Source: RNAcentral
GAUGAACGCUAGCGACAGGCUUAACACAUGCAAGUCGAGGGGCAGCGAGGGAGUGCUUGCACUUCUGUCGGCGACCGGCGCACGGGUGAGUAACACGUAUGCAACCUGCCCUUGUCAGGGGGAUAAGCGAGGGAAACCUCGUCUAAUACCGCAUAUAUGGUUUUGAGGCAUCUCUUAAUCAGGAAAGAAUUAUCGGACAAGGAUGGGCAUGCGGGACAUUAGGUAGUUGGGGGGUGUAACGGACCACCAAGCCGACGAUGUCUAGGGGUUCUGAGAGGAAGGUCCCCCACACUGGAACUGAGACACGGUCCAGACUCCCACGGGAGGCAGCAGUGAGGAAUAUUGGUCAAUGGUCGGAAGACUGAACCAGCCAAGUAGCGUGAAGGAUGAAGGUUCUAUGGAUUGUAAACUUCUUUUAUACGGGAAUAAAACGUCCCACGUGUGGGAUCUUGUAUGUACCGUAUGAAUAAGCAUCGGUUAACUCCGUGCCAGCAGCCGC